CAUUAUGCCUGGAAUGGUUUAUGUUCCAAAUGAUUUAUCGCCGUAGGAUGGGACUGCGGCCUAUCAGUUUGUUGGUGAGGUAAUGGCCCACCAAGACUAUUACAGGUACGGGCUCUGAGAGGAGUAGCCCGGAGAUGGGUACUGAGACACGGACCCAGGCCCUAUGGGGCGCAGCAGGCGAGAAAACUUUGCAAUGUGCGAAAGCACGACAAGGUUAAUCCGAGUGGUUUCUGCUAAAGGAACCUUUUGUCAGUCCUAGAAACACUGAUGAAUAAGGGGUGGGCAAGUUCUGGUGUCAGCCGCCGCGGUAAAACCAGCACCUCAAGUGGUCAGGAUGAUUAUUGGGCCUAAAGCAUCCGUAGCCGGCUCUGUAAGUUUUCGGUUAAAUCUGUACGCUCAACGUACAGGCUGCCGGGAAUACUGUAGAGCUAGGGAGUGGGAGAGGUAGACGGUACUCGGUAGGAAGGGGUAAAAUCCUUUGAUCUAUUGAUGACCACCUGUGGCGAAGGCGGUCUACCAGAACACGUCCGACGGUGAGGGAUGAAAGCUGGGGGAGCAAACCGGAUUAGAUACCC
Molecule: ribosomal RNA, 575 nt
Filed under: uncultured archaeon
Lineage: Archaea
Description: bacterial SSU rRNA
Rfam family: Archaeal small subunit ribosomal RNA
Source: RNAcentral